This 3379-nucleotide transfer RNA is filed under the name Homo sapiens (human). RNAcentral's name for it is "HSALNT0103049". The stretch from base 1818 to 1899 matches the Rfam family "tRNA". Lineage: Eukaryota; Metazoa; Chordata; Mammalia; Primates; Hominidae. The record is from RNAcentral.
CUCAGUUUAUUGUUUUGGCAAGGCUUUUAUGGUUAUUUGUGAUAUUUUUUUCUAAAAAUAAUGUUCAGGAAACAAAAUAGGAAAGAUAGGUAAAUAAUAUUGCCAAACAUAAUUAUAUAAAGGGUGAUUACUUAUUCAAUAAAAAUUCUGAUAUAACUAUAUUUGAAGGAAAAAUUGAUCAGAAGAGUGUCUGUGGAGGUGUUUACGGUGAGGAAGAGAAGUGAAUCUUCUAUUUGUGUAAUGGGAAAUCAAUGGAAAAUACUAAGCUUAAAAUUAAUAUGUAGCAUAUGUAUUAGAGUACAAUUUUGUCUCUGUAACAAAGACCCAAAAGAACCAUAGCUUAAAAGAAGCAUUACUGAUCUCUCCUGUGACUGUCUGAGGGUGUAAUCAAUGCCAGGGUGAUGCUUUGGCUUCAUGGUGUUGGUUCCAGUCUUCUAUGUCAUGGCUCCUUCCUUCCUACAGUGUGCUGGGUCCAAUCACUAUUCCAUGAAGCCUUCAUUCUCAAAAGCAGAUACAUGAGGAAGAGAUAAAUAGAGGUUAUUUCCUUCUCUUAUGGACAUAACCUGGAAGUUUUACAUACAUUUUCUCUCUUAUGCCUUUACUUAGAAAUUGGUCACGUGAUGACGCUGACUGUCAAGGGAAGUCACUGUAAUCUUUUCAUGGGUGGCUAUGAGCUCAGCUAAUUUUCCAUUUCUUGGAAAAAACAAAAAUAAUGAUUGGACAACUAGCCAUCUUUGCCAUAGCAUGAUGACAUGCAGGUAAAAACAACACAAAACGCCAAAUGGCUGAAAAUGUUUGCCUCUACUAAGAGGAAUAAGAUAGGAGAGACCACUGUUUCGCAUACACAUAUUUUUUGAAGUAAUUGAGCUUUUAAAACAUGUAUGGUUAACUUUGAUUAAAAAUUUUGUUAAUAAUAAUUUUAAAAAGCUUUAAGAACCAAAGUAUGGAUAAAUAAUUCAGCCAGGCUAAAGUGAGAAAGGGAAAGAGCGUUCCAUGAGGGAAAAUCACUUGUUGGAAGAGGAAAACUAGAUCUGUCUUGAGGCAAAAACCCAAAUGGGACUGAGCAUGGAAAACAACGGGUAAGGAAGUGGGUUGAGUUGAGGUUGAAGAUUUCAGGCAGGUCAACGCAGCAAACACUGCAAUAUAAGGGCUCUUCCAAGGAAAAAAAAAGCGGAUGAUUCUUUGUGAAUUCACAGAAACUAGCAAAGGUGGUAUUCACUCAAGAUGUUAGUGCAAUCUAACGUAAAAUAUCCUGACAUUGAGAGUGUGAAAAUACAGCAGGGGUCCAUUCCUGCAGGAUUUCCCCUAUGUUCCCUGUUGUUUAGCCUGUGAUUGAUUUGCGUGGGCUUCUGAAGAGAAACCGACUCCGGUGUGAACGGUUUUGGGAACCUCGGUCUCCUGCUGGCUCCCAGGUGCGCUAUCCGACGCAGCGAGACGCGGUGAGCCUACAGAAGGGCUGACCAGGCUCACCUGACGCCCCAGGUCGACAGCAAACCCCGUGCGCCCCGUUGGCCCGGUCACGCCCGCAGCCUGCUCAGGCGCCUCCUGCCUCGGGACCAGGAAGCGGAAGAAAGGGAGAGACCGGCCCGGCAAUUACGUUUCUAUCAUGUCUUGAACAUUUGUGUGAGUCCCACGAAAGCUAAGCCCGUUUAUUCCCCCUCGAAGCGUUUCCACUCAGUUCUUGAUCAUUCAUGUGAAAACGAGCCAUCUCCACGUCUCCCAAACGUCUUCAAACCGUUUCCUAAGUCUUGUAAGGCCGCCUGUGGGUUCCUAUUACAAACUCUGAAAUAAAAUACUCGGGAAACGUGGGUUAUCAAGACGAGGUGGCCGAGUGGUUAAGGCGAUGGACUGCUAAUCCAUUGUGCUCUGCACGCGUGGGUUCGAAUCCCACCCUCGUCGGGGGAGGUCUUUUAAUACGAAGAGGAGGAAACAACACCCAAGUCCAGCCAACUUCCCUUUCAACUCUCCUGGAAUUCAGGUCCCUGGCGUUGGAGAGGAAAAAGGAGCUCUUGUAAUUUUGUAUCAUCAGUAUAACGAUGGUGUUGCUGGGUUUUUUAACUUUAUGGUUGAUGGGGUAUUGAUUGUCAAUAUUGUGCGCGUGAUCAGUUUAAUGAGUACUCUUCUGGUGGGCUUUCUACCUGAUGACUGCAAAAACGCCUUCGAGCCUGAGAAAGGGGAGAGGGCAAUAGAGAGGAGAGGAAGGUGACGGUGGGGCUAGAAAGAGAGAGAGAUGAAGCUGCCAAAAAGGGGGAAAAACUUGAGGUGUGGUUAUCCCAGCCGCUUCUUUUAGAAAUCAUUACUACUGUGAACAUUAAAAUAAAUUCAUCAAAAAGAUAAGCAGAAAAAAACAAAAACAAAACAGCACGACAAAUACACCAACACAGAAAUUCAAUUACUUAGAUUCUCAAGACAAAUCGAGGGACCAACAUUGAAGAAACGUGUAGCACUGACGACAUGGCCACAAGAUUUUUGUUUUGUUUUGUUUUGUUAAAAAAAAAAAAAAGCAAGCAAGCAAGCCGGGCGCAGUGGCUCAAGCCUGUAAUCCCAGAACUUUGGGAGGCCGAGGCGGGUGGAUUACCUGAGGUCAGGAGUUCAACACCAGGCUGGCCAAUUCGGCGAAACCCCGUCUCUACUAAAAAAUACAAAAAAUUAGCAGGGCGUGGUGGGCGCCUGUAAUCCCAGCGACUCGGGAGGCUGAGGCGCGAGAAUCGCUUGAACCCAGGAGGCGGAGGUUGCAGUGAGCCGAGAUGGCGCCACUGCUCUCCAGCCUGGGUAAGAGAAAGAGACUCUCUCAAAAAACAAACAAAACAAGUUAUGCAAUUUGGAGUGCAAGAGGGACCCAGUUACCCCACUGACACUUUGACGCAGGAUAGGUAUUCAAGGAGGUGACCAUGGUCUUGGGACACAACAACCGUGGUGACCAUACAGUCAACACAAUAAGCCUCAGCAUUCACACUGAAAUUGAGCUCAUUCAAAUGAACAGCUAUCAAGAGGAAAUUUCCCCUAGAGACAGCAUGCGCAUUUUGACUUUACCUGUCCUUAGACUGAGCCUUUGCUCAUUACAAUAGUAAAAAACACACCGCUGGCUGGAGAUUUAAGAUGCCAAUGAGACAUACCAUGUAUGAACAAGCAUGUACAGCUACUGCGCAUGUGCACUCAGAGGACCACCCAGAAGAUGAUUACCAGUAACAUUUCUCACCUCCUUCUAAAUAGUCACCUAAGACUCCCAUAAAGGGAGCCUCCCUAGCCCCAAUCUUUGCUGUUUCAUCCUUAGGAGCAGCCCGCCCUGAAUUCUCUCUCUCUCAGGGUGUGCUGUCUAUUCUGCACCUAACUUACAAAAUAUUCUUUUUCCUUUGCAAUAAAUUAAUCUACGUUGCAC